CUUCUUCUUCUUCGUGUGUUUCGUCCUGCAGCUGCGCAGCCCAGGCUCAUAAUGUGAGACCAGAACAGGAAGCAGUGGAGGUGGCCGCCAUGUUGAAACCUCAGGCAGGACCAGCUGGAUCAGUGGUGGACGACAGCACCGAUAUCCCCGCUGGUCUGGUUCGACUUGGACCAGGAGCUGAUCCUGGUGCUGGAGGAGCUCUGGUCUCAUCUGUGACAUGUUCUGAAAUGUGAUUUUACUAGUCUUCUCAUGUAGUUACGUUAAAGUACUAUAUAAAUAACUUUGAUCCAAAGCAAAGUAAAAAUGACAUUUAAAACAUAA
This is a long non-coding RNA of Stegastes partitus (bicolor damselfish), 321 nucleotides long. RefSeq lists it as uncharacterized. NCBI's taxonomy places the organism in Eukaryota, Metazoa, Chordata, Actinopteri, Pomacentridae. The record is from RefSeq and is a predicted model, not a curated record. The transcript is spliced from 2 exons.